GACGAACGCUGGCGGCGUGCUUAACACAUGCAAGUCGAACGGAGUGGCGAACGGGUGAGUAACACGUGGGUGACCUGCCCUGCACUUCGGGAUAAGCCUGGGAGACUGGGUCUAAUACCGGAUAGUGUGGGAUGGGCCCGCGGCCUAUCCGCUUGUUGGUGGGGUAAUGGCCUACCAAGGCGGGGACGGGUAGCCGGCCUGGGAGUGUGGGCGGACCCAUGUGGACGCGGACACGGGCCAUGGUCCUAAGGGCGGCAGGAGUGGGGAAGUGUGCACAAUGGGGGACGCCUGAUGCAGCGACGCCGGGUGUGGGAUGACGGCCUUCGGGUUGUAAACUCCGUUCACCAUCGACGCGGUAGAUGGAGAAGAAGCACCGGCUAACUACGUGCCAGCAGCCGCGGUAAUUC
RNAcentral lists this ribosomal RNA (407 nucleotides) under uncultured bacterium. RNAcentral's name for it is "partial 16S ribosomal RNA". It matches the Rfam family "Bacterial small subunit ribosomal RNA", at positions 28 to 526 of the family's 1533-position model. The record is from RNAcentral.